UACAGAGGAUGCAAGCGUUAUCCGGAAUGAUUGGGCGUAAAGCGUCUGUAGGUGGCUUUUUAAGUCCGCCGUCAAAUCCCAGGGCUCAACUCUGGAAUGGCCUUUGAGACUAGAGGACUUGGGUACGGGAGAGGUGAGUGGAAUUCCGAGUGUAGAGGUGAAAUUCGUAGAUAUUCGGAAGAACACCAGUGGCGAAGGCGGCUCACUGGCCCGUUACCGACGCUCAGGCGCGACAGCGUGGGGAGCAAACAGG
This 253-nucleotide ribosomal RNA is filed under the name uncultured bacterium. RNAcentral describes it as "partial 16S ribosomal RNA". It matches the Rfam family "Bacterial small subunit ribosomal RNA", at positions 524 to 776 of the family's 1533-position model. The record is from RNAcentral.